Molecule: RNA transcript, 1474 nt
Organism: Bombus terrestris (buff-tailed bumblebee)
Lineage: Eukaryota; Metazoa; Arthropoda; Insecta; Hymenoptera; Apidae
Gene: Ts
Gene name: thymidylate synthase
Exons: 6
Source: RefSeq, a predicted model, not a curated record
UAUAAUAACUCCGACCAAAAGGCGGAAUUAUUAAAAUGACCUAAAAAAAAUGUUUAUUGAAUAAAAAUCGAGGAGAAAAGUCAUCGUAAUUGAAGAAUAAAAGUAAAGAAUUUUUCUAACCAGCCGUGAAGUAAGCCACAUAAUACCGCCAAAAUUUACUCCAUGUUAUACGGCGAAAUCAUUGACAUUAGCUAGUAUUAUAAAUCUUUUAUUUUCUGAAAUUAUGAAUAAAUGUAGAAUAACGAAUGGAACGAAUGAAAUCCAAAAAUGUACUCAGAACGGGGAAGAACACGAAGAAUAUCAAUAUUUAAAUUUAAUAAAAAAAAUUAUAAAAGAAGGCACGAGAAAAGAUGAUCGUACAGGUGUAGGCACAUUGUCCAUUUUCGGGACACAGAUGCGAUUUAAUUUACGAGACAAUGUAUUCCCAUUGCUAACUACAAAGCGAGUAUUUUGGAGGGGCGUAGUGGAGGAGUUGUUAUGGUUUAUUAGAGGAUCGACAAAUGCCAAAGAAUUAAGUCAAAAGGAUGUCCACAUAUGGGAUGCAAACAGUUCACGUGAGUUCCUAGACUCUUGUGGCUUCACAAAUAGAAAAGAAGGAGAUUUAGGACCUGUUUAUGGAUUUCAAUGGAGACAUUAUGGUGCAAAGUACCAAAAUAUGGAUACAGAUUAUAGUGGACAAGGAAUAGAUCAGUUAAAACAGAUCAUAGAUAAGAUACAACAUUCUCCCAAUGAUAGACGAAUUAUAAUGUCAGCAUGGAACCCAGGCGACAUUUCAGAAAUGGCUCUACCUCCCUGUCACUGUCUUGUCCAAUUUUAUGUGAACAAUGGAGAGUUAUCAUGUCAACUUUAUCAAAGAAGCGCUGACAUGGGUCUUGGCGUACCAUUCAAUAUCGCAUCUUAUUCUUUGUUAACUUACAUGCUGGCACACAUUUCAAAUUUAAAGCCAGGUGAAUUUAUACAUACGAUGGGUGACUGUCACGUAUACCUCAAUCACAUAUCUGCACUCGAGGAACAAACAAAACGUGUGCCAAAACCAUUCCCAUAUUUAAAAAUCGUUAGGAACGUUGAAAACAUAGAAGAUUUCACAGCGGAUGAUAUCGAACUUAUCGGAUACAAUCCACACACAAAGUUAUCUAUGCCAAUGGCCGUUUAAAAACAAAAUUGAACACAAAGUACUGACACAAGCUUAUGUACACGUUUUUAUCUAGAACUCUAACAAGUAUAAACCGUAAUCAUUUCGCCACACUUUGCAUCACAGAAACAAUCAAGUAAAAGAAGAUUUUUCAAGUGGAUGUAACUGACAAGCAUGGACGGUAAAAGGCCUUGUGUAAGCAACUUUCAGAAUUUAACAAAAUUAUUUUACUUUUAUACAAUGUAGAGUACUAUCUUAAAUCAUAUAUAUAAUUAUCCAUUGAAAAUAUUAUUUUCUCGCGUGACUGUAGAAGGAAAUAAAAACGUUUCUAGUAUCUUUAAA